This 77-nucleotide transfer RNA is filed under the name Parcubacteria group bacterium. Its description in RNAcentral is "tRNA-Asp". It matches the Rfam family "tRNA". Rfam says of the family: Transfer RNA (tRNA) molecules are approximately 80 nucleotides in length. Their secondary structure includes four short double-helical elements and three loops (D, anti-codon, and T loops). Further hydrogen bonds mediate the characteristic L-shaped molecular structure. tRNAs have two regions of fundamental functional importance: the anti-codon, which is responsible for specific mRNA codon recognition, and the 3' end, to which the tRNAs corresponding amino acid is attached (by aminoacyl-tRNA synthetases). tRNAs cope with the degeneracy of the genetic code in two manners: having more than one tRNA (with a specific anti-codon) for a particular amino acid; and 'wobble' base-pairing, i.e. permitting non-standard base-pairing at the 3rd anti-codon position. The record is from RNAcentral. RNAcentral also lists the same sequence under 2 other names.
GGGGUGGUAGUUCAGUUGGUUAGAACGCCUGCCUGUCACGCAGGAGGUCGAGGGUUCGAGUCCCUUCCAUCCCGCCA